This 2644-nucleotide long non-coding RNA is filed under the name Cucumis sativus (cucumber). Its description in RNAcentral is "long non-coding RNA (CSAT_LNC001527)". Lineage: Eukaryota; Viridiplantae; Streptophyta; Magnoliopsida; Cucurbitales; Cucurbitaceae. The record is from RNAcentral.
AGAUGGGUCCUCUCUUCGUAGGCUAAUGCAUUGGCCCUUUUUGACCCGUUUUGGGGCGAAAACAAAAACUGACUCCCGGGCAUAUUUUUUUCGGCCUUUAUGGGCAGAGAACUUUAAUACCCGCUCAGAAUGAGGCCACCCAGUAGUUAGGUGUGAAUUUUCGAGACCUUCUGGCACCGUUCUAAGAUGGGUCCUCUCUUCGUAGGCUAAUGCAUUGGCCCUUUUUGACCCGUUUUGGGGCGAAAACAAAAACUGACUCCCGGGCAUAUUUUUUUCGGCCUUUAUGGGCAGAGAACUUUAAUACCGCUCAAAAUGAGGCCACCCAGUAGUUAGGUGUGAAUUUUCGAGACCUCUGGCACCGUUCUAAGAUGGGUCCUCUCUUCGUAGGCUAAUGCAUUGGCCCUUUUUGACCCGUUUUGGGGCGAAAACAAAAACUGACUCCCGGGCAUAUUUUUUUCGGCCUUUAUGGGCAGAGAACUUUAAUACCGCUCAAAAUGAGGCCACCCAGUAGUUAGGUGUGAAUUUUCGAGACCUUUGGCACCGUUCUAAGAUGGGUCCUCUCUUCGUAGGCUAAUGCAUUGGCCCUUUUUGACCCGUUUUGGGGCGAAAACAAAAACUGACUCCCGGGCAUAUUUUUUUCGGCCUUUAUGGGCAGAGAACUUUAAUGCCGCUCAGAAUGAGGCCACCCAGUAGUUAGGUGUGAAUUUUCGAGACCUUUGGCACCGUUCUAAGAUGGGUCCUCUCUUCGUAGGCUAAUGCAUUGGCCCUUUUUGACCCGUUUUGGGGCGAAAACAAAAACUGACUCCCGGGCAUAUUUUUUUCGGCCUUUAUGGGCAGAGAACUUUAAUGCCGCUCAAAAUGAGGCCACCCAGUAGUUAGGUGUGAAUUUUCGAGACCUUUGGCACCGUUCUAAGAUGGGUCCUCUCUUCGUAGGCUAAUGCAUUGGCCCUUUUUGACCCGUUUUGGGGCGAAAACAAAAACUGACUCCCGGGCAUAUUUUUUUCGGCCUUUAUGGGCAGAGAACUUUAAUACCGCUCAAAAUGAGGCCACCCAGUAGUUAGGUGUGAAUUUUCGAGACCUUUGGCACCGUUCUAAGAUGGGUCCUCUCUUCGUAGGCUAAUGCAUUGGCCCUUUUUGACCCGUUUUGGGGCGAAAACAAAAACUGACUCCCGGGCAUAUUUUUUUCGGCCUUUAUGGGCAGAGAACUUUAAUGCCGCUCAAAAUGAGGCCACCCAGUAGUUAGGUGUGAAUUUUCGAGACCUUUGGCACCGUUCUAAGAUGGGUCCUCUCUUCGUAGGCUAAUGCAUUGGCCCUUUUUGACCCGUUUUGGGGCGAAAACAAAAACUGACUCCCGGGCAUAUUUUUUUCGGCCUUUAUGGGCAGAGAACUUUAAUACCCGCUCAGAAUGAGGCCACCCAGUAGUUAGGUGUGAAUUUUCGAGACCUUUGGCACCGUUCUAAGAUGGGUCCUCUCUUCGUAGGCUAAUGCAUUGGCCCUUUUUGACCCGUUUUGGGGCGAAAACAAAAACUGACUCCCGGGCAUAUUUUUUUCGGCCUUUAUGGGCAGAGAACUUUAAUACCGCUCAGAAAUGAGGCCACCCAGUAGUUAGGUGUGAAUUUUCGAGACCUUUGGCACCGUUCUAAGAUGGGUCCUCUCUUCGUAGGCUAAUGCAUUGGCCCUUUUUGACCCGUUUUGGGGCGAAAACAAAAACUGACUCCCGGGCAUAUUUUUUUCGGCCUUUAUGGGCAGAGAACUUUAAUACCGCUCAGAAAUGAGGCCACCCAGUAGUUAGGUGGGAAUUUUCGAGACCUUUGGCACCGUUCUAAGAUGGGUCCUCUCUUCGUAGGCUAAUGCAUUGGCCCUUUUUGACCCGUUUUGGGGCGAAAACAAAAACUGACUCCCGGGCAUAUUUUUUUCGGCCUUUAUGGGCAGAGAACUUUAACACCGCUCAAAAUGAGGCCACCCAGUAGUUAGGUGUGAAUUUUCGAGACCUUUGGCACCGUUCUAAGAUGGGUCCUCUCUUCGUAGGCUAAUGCAUUGGCCCUUUUUGACCCGUUUUGGGGCGAAAACAAAAACUGACUCCCGGGCAUAUUUUUUUCGGCCUUUAUGGGCAGAGAACUUUAAUACCGCUCAAAAUGAGGCCACCCAGUAGUUAGGUGUGAAUUUUCGAGACCUUUGGCACCGUUCUAAGAUGGGUCCUCUCUUCGUAGGCUAAUGCAUUGGCCCUUUUUGACCCGUUUUGGGGCGAAAACAAAAACUGACUCCCGGGCAUAUUUUUUUCGGCCUUUAUGGGCAGAGAACUUUAACACCGCUCAAAAUGAGGCCACCCAGUAGUUAGGUGGGAAUUUUCGAGACCUUUGGCACCGUUCUAAGAUGGGUCCUCUCUUCGUAGGCUAAUGCAUUGGCCCUUUUUGACCCGUUUUGGGGCGAAAACAAAAACUGACUCCCGGGCAUAUUUUUUUUCGGCCUUUAUGGGCAGAGAACUUUAACACCGCUCAAAAUGAGGCCACCCAGUAGUUAGGUGGGAAUUUUCGAGACCUUUGGCACCGUUCUAAGAUGGGUCCUCUCUUCGUAGGCUAAUGCAUUGGCCCUUUUUGACCCGUUUUGGGGCGAAAACAAAAACUGACUCCCGGGCAUAUUUUUC